UGAGUAACACGUAUCCAACCUGCCGUCUACUCUUGGACAGCCUUCUGAAAGGAAGAUUAAUACAAGAUGGCAUCAUGAGUUCACAUGUUCACAUGAUUAAAGGUAUUCCGGUAGACGAUGGGGAUGCGUUCCAUUAGAUAGUAGGCGGGGUAACGGCCCACCUAGUCUUCGAUGGAUAGGGGUUCUGAGAGGAAGGUCCCCCACAUUGGAACUGAGACACGGACCAA
Molecule: ribosomal RNA, 227 nt
Filed under: uncultured bacterium
Lineage: Bacteria
Description: partial 16S ribosomal RNA
Rfam family: Bacterial small subunit ribosomal RNA
Source: RNAcentral